Molecule: long non-coding RNA, 582 nt
Filed under: Chlamydomonas reinhardtii
Lineage: Eukaryota; Viridiplantae; Chlorophyta; Chlorophyceae; Chlamydomonadales; Chlamydomonadaceae
Description: long non-coding RNA (CREI_LNC000155)
Source: RNAcentral
AAUCGGGCGGGUCGUGGUUGGGGAGGUGUGGUCUUCCCCACUCCAACAUGCCUGCAACUUGCAUAUUGUUUUGUGUUUUUGGAGCAUCCACGCGCCACUUCCUUUACUAAACUGAGAUUGGACUGGGCAGCAUGCACCCCCCUGGGGCUCGCGCGCCAUCACGCAUCUUCCUGCCUGUCCCACGACGUGUGUACUUUACACCGCGACUCGACGUCUGGCAAUAAAAUAGUCUGAUUUCUAAUUCAUCACCGUGCUGUCCGACAACAGUUGGUGGUGUGGGGGGUGGCUGGGGAAGACAUGGCAGCUGUGCGUAUGAUGACUCGGCGGCUCCUUGCACGCUCGGCAUGCAUGCUAUCAGGUGGCCUUCCCCGAGGGAGUACGGGAGGACACCAUAAUAGGCUUUUGUCUUAUGUGUACUUUUUUGCAGGGGUUACAUCGUGAAGGUAGAGGAGGCGGUUAAGUGUUUAGGUUGGACUGUCCCUAGCCGGGCACGUGCACGGCGCAGCACACAGACUUGACGCAGACAAGACAUGCAUGCAUACCGUAUGUAUGGCGCCCAUAGGGCCGCUGGCAGGGUGAAAC